Molecule: transfer RNA, 77 nt
Filed under: Candidatus Apopatosoma intestinale
Lineage: Bacteria; Bacillati; Bacillota; Clostridia; Eubacteriales
Also listed under: 1 other name
Description: Ruminococcus sp. CAG:724 transfer RNA-Val(CAC)
Rfam family: tRNA
About the family: Transfer RNA (tRNA) molecules are approximately 80 nucleotides in length. Their secondary structure includes four short double-helical elements and three loops (D, anti-codon, and T loops). Further hydrogen bonds mediate the characteristic L-shaped molecular structure. tRNAs have two regions of fundamental functional importance: the anti-codon, which is responsible for specific mRNA codon recognition, and the 3' end, to which the tRNAs corresponding amino acid is attached (by aminoacyl-tRNA synthetases). tRNAs cope with the degeneracy of the genetic code in two manners: having more than one tRNA (with a specific anti-codon) for a particular amino acid; and 'wobble' base-pairing, i.e. permitting non-standard base-pairing at the 3rd anti-codon position.
Source: RNAcentral
GGAGACAUAGCUCAGUUGGUCAGAGCGCACGCUUCACAUGCGUGAGGUCGCGGGUUCGAGCCCCUCUGCCUCCACCA